Chlorocebus sabaeus (green monkey) is the source of this 987-nucleotide non-coding RNA. Lineage: Eukaryota; Metazoa; Chordata; Mammalia; Primates; Cercopithecidae. The record is from RefSeq and is a predicted model, not a curated record.
UCUGGGGUGGAGGUUGCGGGGAAUACCAGUCCAGAGCAUUUAAAUGAAACCAUGAAGAAUGAGAAGGGCCAGAGAUGGCCAAGCAGCAGGUGGGAGAUGAGGGUGGGGACAGCCCUCUGAAUGUGGCCAAGCCACAGCCCCAGUAAAGACCUGGAGGAAGGAAAGAACUACCAUGGAGCUGUGGGAGCCCUGGGGUGUGGCAGGAAGGUGGGGUGAGGACAGCACAGUGAUUGCAAACCAAAAGGGAAUGUUUGGAAUGUUCAGAAUGAAGAAGUCAGCUUCUCAGGGCUCAGUGGAGAGAGAUUAACAUUCCUGUGGCUCCAGGAUAACUGGGAGCCUAGGCCAUUUUCUGCUUCAGCUGAGACUUGGAGAUUACCUUGGAUGACUGCCCAGUAAAAUAACCAACAGACAUCAUUGUUCAGACUUGCCCUAGGAGCAGAACCAGUAUCUGGGCUAUAGUUGAAACUCUAGAGGACAGGACUGCUGUUCCUCCCUUCCUAAUGUGGAAUAAAGACCGAAGUUCCCUGAUCACUGCGAUGGCCCCACGGCACAUUUCCUGGACGCACUGAUGGGCUCUCACUUCCCGCCUCAUCUCAGAGCCCCUCAGCAGGGCACCUCGCUGCUUGUAGGGCAGGAAGAGAUCAACAUGGAAGGUUUGGGUUUGCAAUUUAAGCUCUACCAGUCCAGGGAUUGAGUAGCUGCUAUGGCUCUGUUUCACGCCCUCUCAGCUCUCAGGAGUGUCCAGCAGCCUCACAACAGGAGCACCAUGAUGACAGGAGGAAAAGAAAGCUGGGCUGCUAAGCAGCAGCAGACGGGACUUCACGUGGUAUAACUACACAUUGGGUGUUGCUUUGUUUAAUGUCUGUCUCUGCCAUGAAAUGCAAGCCCUAUAAGGGCAGAGCCUGUGCCUUUUGCUCAUUGUUCUUUCCCAGCACCUGGAACACUACAUGCACAUAACAGGCCCUUAAUAAAGAUUUGGUGAAUAAA